CCAUUCUGUUUAGGUAAGUAAUAAGGGAAAUACGAACAAAAUGACACGUAUGGACAAAAUGACAUAGUGCCCUUAUUUCAAAACGGGGGGGUUUUAGAUACGUUUCCGCGAUUGUAUCACGUGACGGCAGUCAUAUUCACAAUCCUGCCAGACUUUGAGCGCCAUUCUGAAAAUCGCGCCGCAGUAAGCAGAUCACACG
Long non-coding RNA from Aricia agestis (brown argus), 199 nucleotides. RefSeq lists it as uncharacterized. The record is from RefSeq and is a predicted model, not a curated record. NCBI's taxonomy places the organism in Eukaryota, Metazoa, Arthropoda, Insecta, Lepidoptera, Lycaenidae. The transcript has 3 exons.